RNAcentral lists this small RNA (409 nucleotides) under Histoplasma capsulatum. RNAcentral's name for it is "hypothetical RNA". The record is from RNAcentral. Lineage: Eukaryota; Fungi; Ascomycota; Eurotiomycetes; Onygenales; Ajellomycetaceae. RNAcentral also lists the same sequence under 1 other name.
UAGCUGCAGAAAUGGAUGAUCUUAAGGUACAGGCUGGAACAUCUUUUGACGGGUUUGCGGCUCCGUACGCUGACUCCUCGAAACGAGCCAUAUACUGUCCUUUCUCCUUGACGACCUGCCUCUGCCAAUAGUGGUAAUGUAAUAGAAACCGGCCGGGCAGAAUCAUGGCCUCACUUAAAUGCAGCCAAGGAAGGGUCUUUGGCUCGAGGGUGGAAGCGGAGCCGUUCAACUUGUCUUGCUGAUCAAGUGGACAAAGACCAAAGGCAACAGAAUCGAAGGUGAGCUGCAAGUGCAUGGAAGGGGUCCCGCUGGCAACAUCGUCUUGCUGCAAACAGAAUCUAUAUAUUCCCCACACCAACAACUCGGGGUGCGACACUCGGUCAAUACCUAUCGCCGGGGGACAGCUCUU